AUGUUGGAAGAUAUUUUUAAGUUUCCACAUCUUUCUUACUUUUCUAUAUGAAAAUAAAAUGUAAGUAUCACAAUUAAACACAUACGAAAGUUUUUUUUUUAAAUUCAGUUUCAUAAUUACCAAUUUUUAGUGAAUAAUCCUGAAAUUUAUGAAAAUACAUACAUUUUAAGGUUAUGUCAUAAUAUUUUGAUUGUUAUAUUUGUGUUAUAUUUUGUUUUUGUGAUUUUAGUGGACUACACCAACAAAGGUUAUGUGUUUUGCACCAGAUUGAAAGCAUCAUAGCGAAAAACGGACCUGUCAUUUCUUUAAAUUUCCAAAAGAGCCCCUGGAAAAAGAAAAAUUAAUAUCUCUGCUAAGGAAUACUAAGGCAAAUGGAUAAAAAACCUUCAGUCCAUGCAUUGGUAUGUAAUUAAUAUAAUAUUGACAAAAAUACAAUGAAUGGCCUCACUACUUUUCCACAUGCAAAGAGGUUAACCAAGGAGAAAUUAAAGAAAUUGUCAGAAACCUAGGUAAAUACAGAAUUGCUUAGUACAAACUUAUCUAUACCCAGUACAAGUUUGUCCACUUCUUUGAAGCAUGGUACUUUAAACAGAGAAACUGUCAACGAUUUGGUAGAAGGUGAGCCCAUGUCAAAUUCCAGUAAGAGACAUGAUUUCAAUUUUGCACCAACAGCAGAGCCGAAAUUCAUUUUGCUUAUUAAGUUUUGCAAAUUAAGUUUUUCAUAUGAGCAUAUAAAAAAUAUUCAUAACAAAGUUCAGUUGUAUACAGGUUUGACAUGUAAUAAAUAUUUUGUAACCUUAUUUAAUAAUAGUAAUCUUAUAAGUUAAUUAGUUUUAUACAUUAUUUAACUAAUAAUUGUAUAGUUCACAUAGAAUAGAUAGAAAUUAUAUGUACAUAUAUAAAAAAUUUUAUUAAGAUAAGGAGAACAUGUAUUAAAGCAUAACACAUAA
Molecule: long non-coding RNA, 950 nt
Filed under: Anthonomus grandis grandis
Lineage: Eukaryota; Metazoa; Arthropoda; Insecta; Coleoptera; Curculionidae
Description: uncharacterized LOC126749617
Source: RNAcentral